UACGUAGGGGGCUAGCGUUAUCCGGAAUUACUGGGCGUAAAGGGUGCGUAGGUGGUUUCUUAAGUCAGAGGUGAAAGGCUACGGCUCAACCGUAGUAAGCCUUUGAAACUGGGAAACUUGAGUGCAGGAGAGGAGAGUGGAAUUCCUAGUGUUGCGGUGAAAUGCGUAGAUAUUAGGAGGAACACCAGUUGCGAAGGCGGCUCUCUGGACUGUAACUGACACUGAGGCACGAAAGCGUGGGGAGCAAACAGG
RNAcentral lists this ribosomal RNA (252 nucleotides) under uncultured bacterium. RNAcentral's name for it is "partial 16S ribosomal RNA". It matches the Rfam family "Bacterial small subunit ribosomal RNA", at positions 524 to 776 of the family's 1533-position model. The record is from RNAcentral.